CUUCAGGGCGGGGUGAGAUUCCCCACCGGCGGUAACAGCCCGCGUACAGGCAAUGCCUGCUGAACCGGUGAGAUCCCGGUGCCGACGGUACAGUCCGGAUGAAAGAAG
This 108-nucleotide non-coding RNA is filed under the name bovine gut metagenome. Its description in RNAcentral is "FMN riboswitch (RFN element)". It matches the Rfam family "FMN riboswitch aptamer (RFN element)". From Rfam's summary of the family: The RFN element is a highly conserved domain that is found frequently in the 5'-untranslated regions of prokaryotic mRNAs that encode for flavin mononucleotide (FMN) biosynthesis and transport proteins. This element is a metabolite-dependent riboswitch that directly binds FMN in the absence of proteins. The record is from RNAcentral.